Molecule: ribosomal RNA, 480 nt
Filed under: Campylobacter lari
Lineage: Bacteria; Pseudomonadati; Campylobacterota; Epsilonproteobacteria; Campylobacterales; Campylobacteraceae
Description: bacterial LSU rRNA
Rfam family: Bacterial large subunit ribosomal RNA
Source: RNAcentral
GUAUAGGGUGUGACGCCUGCCCGGUGCUCGAAGGUUAAUUGAUGGGGUUAGCAUUAGCGAAGCUCUUGAUCGAAGCCCGAGUAAACGGCGGCCGUAACUAUAACGGUCCUAAGGUAGCGAAAUUCCUUGUCGGUUAAAUACCGACCUGCAUGAAUGGCGUAACGAGAUGGGAGCUGUCUCAAAGAGGGAUCCAGUGAAAUUGUAGUGGAGGUGAAAAUUCCUCCUACCCGCGGCAAGACGGAAAGACCCCGUGGACCUUUACUACAGCUUGACACUGCUAUUUGGAUAAGAAUGUGCAGGAUAGGUGGGAGGCUUUGAGUAAUAGACGCCAGUUUAUUAUGAGCCGUUGUUGAGAUACCACUCUUUCUUAUUUGGGUAGCUAACCAGCUUGAGUUAUCCUCAAGUGGGACAAUGUCUGGUGGGUAGUUUGACUGGGGCGGUCGCCUCCCAAAUAAUAACGGAGGCUUACAAAGGUUGGCU